CCUACGAGUGGCAGCAGUGGGGAAUAUUGGACAAUGGGCGAAAGCCUGAUCCAGCCAUGCCGCGUGUGUGAAGAAGGCCUUCGGGUUGUAAAGCACUUUCAGUGGGGAAGAAAGCCUUGGGGCUAAUACCCUCGAGGAAGGACAUCACCCACAGAAGAAGCACCGGCUAACUCCGUGCCAGCAGCCGCGGUAAUACGGAGGGUGCGAGCGUUAAUCGGAAUUACUGGGCGUAAAGCGCGCGUAGGCGGUCUGAUAAGCCGGUUGUGAAAGCCCCGGGCUCAACCUGGGAACGGCAUCCGGAACUGUCAGGCUAGAGUGCAGGAGAGGAAGGUAGAAUUCCCGGUGUAGCGGUGAAAUGCGUAGAGAUCGGGAGGAAUACCAGUGGCGAAGGCGGCCUUCUGGACUGACACUGACGCUGAGGUGCGAAAGCGUGGGUAGCAAACAGGAUUAGAUACCCCGGUAGUC
Molecule: ribosomal RNA, 465 nt
Filed under: Vreelandella stevensii
Lineage: Bacteria; Pseudomonadati; Pseudomonadota; Gammaproteobacteria; Oceanospirillales; Halomonadaceae
Description: partial 16S ribosomal RNA
Rfam family: Bacterial small subunit ribosomal RNA
Source: RNAcentral